RNAcentral lists this unclassified non-coding RNA (229 nucleotides) under Basidiomycota sp. Its description in RNAcentral is "partial contains small subunit ribosomal RNA, internal transcribed spacer 1, and 5.8S ribosomal RNA". The stretch from base 1 to 47 matches the Rfam family "Eukaryotic small subunit ribosomal RNA", at positions 1785 to 1831 of the family's 1831-position model. The record is from RNAcentral. Lineage: Eukaryota; Fungi; Basidiomycota.
AAAGUCGUAACAAGGUUUCCGUAGGUGAACCUGCGGAAGGAUCAUUAGUGAAUUUAAUGAGGGUGUUCUUCGCUCCGGCAAGACCCUUCUAUAAACCACAUUCUCAACACCUGUGAACUGUAAGGCGUACUUGGUAACAAGUUGUCUGCCCUUUGAUAAACGAUUAAUGUAACAAACGUAGUCUUAUUAUAACGUAAUAAAACUUUCAACAACGGAUCUCUUGGCUCUC